This 652-nucleotide ribosomal RNA is filed under the name uncultured archaeon. RNAcentral's name for it is "bacterial SSU rRNA". It matches the Rfam family "Archaeal small subunit ribosomal RNA", at positions 6 to 664 of the family's 1478-position model. The record is from RNAcentral.
GGUUGAUCCCGCCGGACCUGACUGCUAUCGGAUUGAUACUAAGCCAUGCGAGUCUUUGUAGCAAUACAAGGCAUACGGCUCAGUAACGCGUAGUCAACCUAACCUAUGGACGGGAAUAACCUCGGGAAACUGAGAAUAAUGCCCGAUAGAACACUAUACCUGGAAUGGUUUGUGUUCCAAAUGAUUUAUCGCCGUAGGAUGGGACUGCGGCCUAUCAGUUUGUUGGUGAGGUAAUGGCCCACCAAGACUAUUACAGGUACGGGCUCUGAGAGGAGUAGCCCGGAGAUGGGUACUGAGACACGGACCCAGGCCCUAUGGGGCGCAGCAGGCGAGAAAACUUUGCAAUGUGCGAAAGCACGACAAGGUUAAUCCGAGUGAUUUGUGCUAAACGAAUCUUUUGUUAGUCAUAGAACCACUAACGAAUAAGGGGUGGGCAAGUUCUGGUGUCAGCCGCCGCGGUAAAACCAGCACCUCAAGUGGUCAGGAUGAUUAUUGGGCCUAAAGCAUCCGUAGCCGGCUCUGUAAGUUUUCGGUUAAAUCUGUACGCUCAACGUACAGGCUGCCGGGAAUACUGCAGAGCUAGGGAGUGGGAGAGGUAGACGGUACUCGGUAGGAAGUGGUAAAAUGCUUUGAUCUAUCGAUGACCACCUGU